AAACAUUUGCCCCUGCCCAGAACAAAGCAGUCUCUAUCAUGAUUUGAAAAAGGGGCCUCAAAAAACGCUUGGCUGAUUCUAGCAUCUGGUCGUCAAGGAGGCAAUUGACCAUCACCAGCCAAUGUCAGCUCUACCGCUGACUCUUCCCAAGUGUCCUCCCAAUAGGUGAGAAGAGCUAGGAGUCCACCCAGCAGGAAAGCCAUCCUGCUGGCUGUGGGACCCAAAUGCAAAUUAAAAAACCAUGCCCCUGUGGAGCACCUACUUUCCUCCCUUUGGAUGGGUCACUCAUAAUGCUCUCAACCACUCCCCACACUUUCCACAGGGUAUGGCUAAAAUCCAGCCCAAUCUUGACUGUCUUCUUCAGGGUCAUAUCCCAAGACUGGAUCCAUAUCGACAUGGAUGGUAGUUUAUUCUUUGGUUUUCCUCUGGAAUAAUGGACUGUUGAUGGGUCUCAUUCUGUUGGAUUAAAGAAGAGCAUGUAGCCAUUUCUUUAAACAGCGACAUGUGACUACAAAUGAAAAUGAAAUCAGAAGAUUUUACACUCUUGUCCCAUAGUGACAAUGACCAACUGGCUGGAAGCAAGUAGAGGCUGCCUCUUAAGACAGGAAAACAUUUUAACCCUGCUGUUCCCAUGAUGUCACAAGGACUAGAGUGUUGGGGAGGACUGAGAGCACACUCUUCCUCUGGAGUAUGUUAGACUCUAAGGGUCCAUGACACAGGAGUGGGGAACAUUUCAUUCAUCGAGGAUUGAGCCUCUCGUGCUGGGUGUUGAAAGAAACACCAGUGACGUCCCCGUGUAUUCACAUGGAGUAUCUGACAGUCAGUCAUUGCAGGAUUACAGAAGGAGGGGCAGUUCAGAGGGGAGGCCCCGUGGAGGCAGGCAUGGAGGAGCGCGUGGUGACUGACACCGAGAGCUUGUGACCCGGGCAGGUGGCAGACUCUGUUCGGUCAGAAGACUCUGCCGACUGCAGUGCAUAGAAAUCCACGUCCGUCCACGAGAAGUCGCAGGACGAGAACACCGCUGACAGGAAGUCACCUGUCAGAGCGUGCGGCACGAGUGGUGAGAAUGUUGAGUCUGAACCAAGGUCGUGGUGUCACAGUGGUGGAAAGGCCACUGGAGGUGAAAGAAGCAGACCCAGAGUCAUUUCCAAGAACAAACUGGAAGGUUUAUGGGACCAAUUAGGCAGAGAUCCUGAGGAGGAGAGGUGAAGAUGUGCAGUGGUUUCCGGCCAGGAAGAAGAGUGUUCCAUGGACGGUGAGGACAGAUGCGUGCUGGGCUUCUCUGAGGGCUGGGAAGACGCACGGGGAGCUUGAUUUUAGACAUGACACAAGUUCAGUGAUGGUGCUCAACACACAUGCGCCAAGGCGUGUCUCUCACACACACACAGCCUAAGAACAGAGUCCAUGAUCACGGCA
Long non-coding RNA from Diceros bicornis minor, 1416 nucleotides. RefSeq lists it as uncharacterized. The record is from RefSeq and is a predicted model, not a curated record. NCBI's taxonomy places the organism in Eukaryota, Metazoa, Chordata, Mammalia, Perissodactyla, Rhinocerotidae. The transcript is spliced from 3 exons.